This is an RNA transcript of Xenopus tropicalis (tropical clawed frog), 2862 nucleotides long. It is a transcript of the gene named coronin-6-like, with no coding region annotated. NCBI's taxonomy places the organism in Eukaryota, Metazoa, Chordata, Amphibia, Anura, Pipidae. The record is from RefSeq and is a predicted model, not a curated record. The transcript is spliced from 4 exons.
UCAAAGAAAGUUGGUAACAACAGUUGUCCUACAAAAGAUGGAGGGAAACAAGUUGGACAACUCCCUGCACUAACCUUAAUGCCAAAUGAGAGAGGUUUAAUUGGACAGGGAAUUAAGGCAGGACCAUUCAAUUAGAAGAUCGCAUGGAUGUAGCAUGUAGGGUGCUCAGCCAUGUUGCACAGGUGUAUUCUGUGCAACGAUAACCCGUGUGUCAUUUCUGGAAGUGAUGCUUUGCUCUAAAUCAUCUUUUAUUAUUCUGCAAAUAGAGUAACUUUGAUGAACCCAUUGCCUUGCAAGAAAUGGACACAAGUAAUGGAGUGUUGCUUCCUUUCUAUGACUCUGACUCCAACGUUGUCUACCUCUGUGGAAAGGGUGACAGCAGUAUACGUUACUUUGAGAUAACAGCCGAGGCCCCGUUUGUUCACUACCUAAGCACUUACAGCAGUAAGGAGCCUCAAAGAGGAAUGGGAUUCAUGCCAAAGAGGGGUUUGGAUGUCAGUAAAUGUGAAAUAGCCAGGUUUUCAAGCUACAUGAAAGGAAAUGUGAGCCGAUUGUCAUGACCGUGCCACGAAAGUCAGACCUCUUCCAGGAUGAUUUGUAUCCAGACACACCCGGACCUGAACCGGCACUUGAGGCUGAGGAAUGGUUUUCAGGACAAGACGCAGAUCCUAUUCUUGUAUCUCUUAGGGACGGUUAUACCCCCUUAAAGAACAGGGAGUUGAAAGUCAACAAGAAAAACAUUCUAGAUAACAAGCCUCCAACUGGACCACGAAGAAGUUACUCAUCUUGCGAUGCUGGUUUUCUGUAAGUCUGCAGUGUGUGUAAUCCAGCAGUGUCAUCCUCCUUUUAUUAUUCAUAAAAUAUUCUGUCAUACAAAAUAAAGAGAUAUUUGUUUAAUGGGGCAUUAAAAUUAGUUUAAUGGCGCCUCUAAACACAAUUGGCUCUGUUCAGUGGGGCCUUACAAAGAGAAUGGGCAGUGGUUUAUCUAGAGAGAGACGAGAUCCUCUGCACGCACCCAUUAUCAAAAUAUAUAGGGUAUUAAGACAUUCUGUGCAUUAAGCUACUAAGAAAUACCCUCCCCUUUAAGCAAAACAGGGAUUGUUUGUCCAUAUAUUGCAAUAUACUUUAACCUGACCAACUACAUCAGCCAUCCCUGGUCUGGUCAGUCCUAUACUCACUUUUAUCUGAUUCAUUAAGAAUCCUAUUGCUUCAUUACACAUUUUGCACAUUGACUGAGUUUUACCUGCAACUUACAUGCUUUCUGGGUUACUUAAGGAUUUCUUUGUAGCUGAAAGCACAGAAUGGGAUAAUGUCCUAUAUAUACUGAUAAUGAGUGCUGAGGCCCUCUUGUCUCUGUCUAAUUUAGAGGUGUGCACAACUUUCCCUUUUUUGCUAUAGAAACUGGUUUAUAGUCCAUGCCAGGCUAUAUGAUCCCAAACCUGCUGUAGAUCUGUAGCAUUAUCUCAGCCUAAACUGGCCAGGUUCACAUGAAUAGGCAUUGCCGUUUUGCUAUACAUUCCUACAUGGUCUGUAAAAGUAAAGAGGGCACUUUAUAGUUAUAAAAACGAAAAGAAGUAACUUAAGUAGCUUUAAAUACAUACAUGUUCUAUUCACUGAAUUCUGUGUUACUCCUUUGACACCGUGUUUCCCUUGAGGAUCUACUAGAAGAAAUCAAGAGCUUGAGAGCCACAGUUGAGUCCCAGGAGAAACGUAUCUCCGACCUAGAAAACCUGCUGCUUGAACUUUCCAAUGGCACAGCUUGAGGCAAAAAAGCCUAAGGUCAGCCCAGCUGGUUCAGAAUGCACUAGAAGAAACCUCUUGUCCUCCCCUCCUAAGAAGUACACCCUGAUCAUGCUCUCCAGGGGGGUAGGAGCCAUUACAGGGACUCCAAAAGGACAUCCCCAACUAAUACUCUUGCUCCAAAGAAGCUUCAUUGUAGAUGUGCCUCCAGGGGCCUUUGCUUGGGGCUACCUUUUAUCCAAAGGAACAAAAUGACAGAAGAAAAGUUUAAAAGCACUUAAGCAUUUAUCUGCAGCAUCCACACGACGAGAGGCCAGUGCUUUACAUGAUGGAGGGGAGACUGAGCAGUCUGGACUGAGCAAAACUAAAACCACAUUUGUAUGCAAGCCCCCACCACCAAGCCAUGUUUCUUGGACCUAGUAGUGACACUGUAUUAGAAGCACAUACAGUUCUAUUUUUUUUCCUUGCUGGUCUUAUUCCGUUUUUCUUAUUUAAGUUAGCGCUGCUGUAUAAUCACACGUAGGAACAAUGAAAGGGCACAGGAGAUUGACUGAGGGGGUUACAGUUUUAUUGUUAGCCAAUACCCAAAGGUUUGUAGGUUUUUAUGGCUGUAUGGUGUCUUUAUACAGCAGUAUAAUGUAUCCAGAUGUUUGUGCAUUGGAAUUAUAAAGCUGCCUAUCUAUGCAGGCUGCCAGUUAGCAAUUUCUUUUUGCAUUGCUGCACAGAUUAAUGCGGGUCCGGCUGCAGAGUGUCUACACUGAUUUGCUGUGCAUUAUUUAUGGAGGUUGUGGAACGUGGAGCCAAAUCCUUACUACUCACUUCAUCCUUAGAAUAAUAACAGUUAAAAAAAUUGCAGAAGUUUGUGCCUAUUCUAGUAACCCAUAGCAACCACUCAGCAGGCCAGUAUAUGGUGACUGGUUGCUAUGGGACACUAGAAUGAGAGCAAACCUGGCACAGCUGUUGUAUUAACCUUCAAAUAUUAAUUGCAGUAGUGCUUCAGAAAUUGUUGUUCCGUUGCUUUGCACAAUUACAGAUGUCUAGGUACAGGGACAGGCUACUGUAUGAAGAGCUACAGCUUAAAGGGAUACUUUCAUCAGAAUAAACCAUCUUUAUAUAAUAUUA